GCCGAAAACUCGCUAUAUUUAUAACUUCUUCCAAAUUACGUGUACUUAAUGUCCGUCUUUGUGGCUGUAAAACAGUCUGGAAUAGCCGCCCAAUUUAGAAGUACUUUUCCUAAGAGCUAGGGUAUGUUUACAACUCCUUGACAUCAUCUGCAUCAGUGCAUGUUUACAACAGUCUUUGAAGGACAGUCUAAAAUAGUACUUACAAGGCAGCCUAGUCCCAGGCUCUCUCUCUAUUCGCUGCUUUGAUAUAUUUAAAUAAGUCUUAAAAGUUUUAUGCCUGGGUGUGCUGUGCGGAACGUGAAGCACCUUGAGCGGUGACGUCACACCUAGGUCCCAGUCUCGUACUACAUCCACUUUUUUCUCGCGCUUGCUUCAGAACGACUGGGACUAGGCUGCUUAUAAGGCAUAUUAUGAAUUGGGUGAGGGGGCAUUGGCCUGGGCCCUAAUCUUACCCUGAGUGACCAAGAGGCCCCAAAGAAAAUUUGCACUGAACUACUUCAAAAUGACGUGUAUGUAUAGCUAGUCUCCUGGGGCCGGUUGUAUCAAGCCCGUUUAGCUUAAACAGUGGAUAAGUCAAAAUUACAAACACUCUUUUCUCUCUCGUGAAUCAGUCAACUUAAAUAUUCUGCAUUUAAUAUGUAGUUGUAAACAUUAUCGUUCUAUUAAAGUUCAAAACUUUUAGUUUAGUUGUUGAAUGAAUCUAUAGACUUGCUUUCUAUUUUGAGCUUAACCACUGUUUAAGCUAAACGGACUUGAUACAACCGGACCCUGCAUACAAAAUUACGUGCAUGCAUAGCUAGGAUACUUGCACAAAUUAUCAAUAAUAGCAAAACUAUUUUGAUGUAGUUACGUAAUAUUAGUUUCCAGCAGAUCAUGGGAAAAUGGGCGGAAUUAUUAAAGAACACCUGCUCUGGUCAGCAAGCCUCUGCCCUUACGCCAGUUAAGCUUUCCGGUGUCUCUGGUUAAUGCGGCAUUCCAAACUGCCAAAUUCUGCCACAAUGACGUGGAUCAGUUCCAAUAAUCCUGACUAAGUGCACGUAAUCUCUGUGAAUGAAAGUAUUUUCCUGAAAAUAUCGUACUUGCACUUAUGUGCAUACCAACAUAUCGCUGAGGAUUAUAAUCAUGUCGCCUUGUUAUGAGUACAUAGGGUCGUUGUGUUGUGGAAGGCUAUACACACUGUUUCACUAAGCACUCUCAUGCAGCCCUUGGUCAACUUGCAGGUAUCAGAAUGGUGAAAUGUUGAUUCAUUAAACGUACUUUUGUAUUUGGUAGAAAAUACAUCUAGACUUAAGACAACUGCAGAUCGAGACAACUAUAUUCCUGUUGUGCUUAUAUUUUUCAUAUCUCUCCCAAACAGAAGCUGACUGGAGAAAUCUAGUUUAAUUUUUUGCUUCUAUUGCUCGUUUGCAAUCGACGCCAUCUUGGUUGAUUUUCAAAACAUCUAAAAAUCUAUAUUCUUCUUUCUU
Non-coding RNA from Paramuricea clavata, 1466 nucleotides. NCBI's taxonomy places the organism in Eukaryota, Metazoa, Cnidaria, Anthozoa, Malacalcyonacea, Plexauridae. The record is from the annotation of a GenBank genome assembly.